UGGGGAAUAUUGGACAAUGGGGGCAACCCUGAUCCAGCAAUGCCGCGUGUGUGAAGAAGGUUUUCGGAUUGUAAAGCACUUUCGGCGGGGACGAUGAUGACGGUACCCGCAGAAGAAGCCCCGGCUAACUUCGUGCCAGCAGCCGCGGUAAUACGAAGGGGGCUAGCGUUGCUCGGAAUGACUGGGCGUAAAGGGCGUGUAGGCGGUUUGUACAGUCAGAUGUGAAAUCCCCGGGCUUAACCUGGGAGCUGCAUUUGAUACGUGCAGACUAGAGUGUGAGAGAGGGUUGUGGAAUUCCCAGUGUAGAGGUGAAAUUCGUAGAUAUUGGGAAGAACACCGGUGGCGAAGGCGGCAACCUGGCUCAUAACUGACGCUGAGGCGCGAAAGCGUGGGGAGCA
RNAcentral lists this ribosomal RNA (398 nucleotides) under uncultured bacterium. RNAcentral's name for it is "partial 16S ribosomal RNA". It matches the Rfam family "Bacterial small subunit ribosomal RNA", at positions 355 to 770 of the family's 1533-position model. The record is from RNAcentral.